ACGCUCGACACCUACGGAGGCAGCAGUGGGGAAUAUUGCACAAUGGGGGAAACCCUGAUGCAGCAACGCCGCGUGAAGGAAGACGGUUUUCGGAUUGUAAACUUCUGUUCUUAGUGAAGAUAGUGACGGUAGCUAAGGAGCAAGCCACGGCUAACUACGUGCCUGCAACCGCGGUAAUCUGAGGCGGGCUGGCAAGGC
Molecule: ribosomal RNA, 198 nt
Filed under: uncultured bacterium
Lineage: Bacteria
Description: partial 16S ribosomal RNA
Rfam family: Bacterial small subunit ribosomal RNA
Source: RNAcentral